Molecule: ribosomal RNA, 448 nt
Filed under: uncultured bacterium
Lineage: Bacteria
Description: bacterial SSU rRNA
Rfam family: Bacterial small subunit ribosomal RNA
Source: RNAcentral
GACCAGACUCCUACGGGAGGCAGCAGUGGGGAAUAUUGCACAAUGGGGGAAACCCUGAUGCAGCGACGCCGCGUGAGUGAAGAAGUAUUUCGGUAUGUAAAGCUCUCUCAGCAGGGAAGAAAAUGACGGUACCUGACUAAGAAGCCCCGGCUAACUACGUGCCAGCAGCCGCGGUAAUACGUAGGGGGCAAGCGUUAUCCGGAUUUACUGGGUGUAAAGGGAGCGUAGACGGCAUGGCAAGUCAGAUGUGAAAGCCCGGGGCUCAACCCCGGGACUGCAUUUGAAACUGUCAGGCUGGAGUGCAGGAGAGGUAAGUGGAAUUCCUAGUGUAGCGGUGAAAUGCGUAGAUAUUAGGAGGAACACCAGUGGCGAAGGCGGCUUACUGGACUGUAACUGACGUUGAGGCUCGAAAGCGUGGGGAGCAAACAGGAUUAGAUACCCGCGUAAU